GACAAUCUAGGUAAUUUCCUUUAGGAAUCGAUGCAAAAUGUUUCACUGAUCAUCAUCUAAUAUGGUAAAACUCUUAUUUUCCUACAUCCAUAAUAGUGUAUUUAUAAACAAGAAUUAGGAUUGAGGAGGAGGACAAACUAAUGAUCUAACCAGCUAAUGACACCCAUUAUGGGUGUCCCGAACCAAUAUCUAUUUCCAAUAAUUAGAAUGUAAGGAAUGCUAUUAUAUGAGAAAGAAUAUUCAUGAUUUCAUCGACUCAUCGACAGGGUCAAUCAAAAAAUAAGAUUGGAAAGUGAAUAAUCACUUUCCAAAUUUCAAUUGUAAUACAUGGGAACUCCUCUAUGAAUGAAGAAUUGAAGCUAUAAUUCAUAUUUCCAUGAGGUCAGGCAAUAGAUAAAUGGGAACUCCUCUAUGAUGACUUUGUUUUGGAAUUUGGCGAAAGCAAAUAACCAAUCGAAUUGACAUUAGAAUUCAUAAGUCAUUUCAGAAAAUGAAAUAUGAUGUUAAUUUCUGUCUUGUAAAUGCUUUGACUAAUCAAAUGGCUGAUGAAAACUAGUUUGAUAAUCUUAUGACUGAUGAUUUUCACAUUGAUGAUCUAUUUUCGCUUUGAAACUAUAUAUGAAGUCUAUGAAAGUGAAAAUAGAAUUUUUUAUUUGAAAUUUUUAUUGUCAAAUACUAAUUUUUAAACAAAAAUAGAAAAUUCAGAAAAAAAUAAAAUAUUCUCGUGGCCAAAUGAGUCUGACAGACCAUCACUGAGUCCAAAUAUUUCUUUCAGAUCACUAAACUACAUGUAAAGAUGACAUAGAAAGCGAAAAUUGUUAGAAAAUAUCCUACGUACCUUUUAUUUUACUUCCCCGGAGAACAACUAAUCAUUUUUCCGCUCAAGGCUGUUAGAAGACUAGGAUUCAUGUUGGAAGAGUAGUGAGCAUGAGCUUACACUCAUAUAGCGGCAAGAACUUGUAACCUUGUCA
RNAcentral lists this long non-coding RNA (971 nucleotides) under Capsicum annuum. Its description in RNAcentral is "long non-coding RNA (CANN_LNC007893)". The record is from RNAcentral. Lineage: Eukaryota; Viridiplantae; Streptophyta; Magnoliopsida; Solanales; Solanaceae.